Molecule: long non-coding RNA, 790 nt
Organism: Gallus gallus (chicken)
Lineage: Eukaryota; Metazoa; Chordata; Aves; Galliformes; Phasianidae
Source: Ensembl
AUCUCACUGGAGAUCCCAGCCUAUGUGAAACCUUCUGAAGGGGAGUUGGACUAGAUGAUGCCUAGAGGUUCCUUCCAACUCUGAGGAUUAUGUUCUAACCGGCUGUUCACGAGGACACCCAUGUACUUCUCUGCAGUGAUCUUCUCCAGCAGGUAGUGAAAAAAUUUCUUGCAAAAUUGCCAUCAUUUAUGUGAGGCCAUUUGGCUUCCUAACAACUUUUUUUUAUAGUGAAUAAUGUCUCCCUCAGACAUCAGAAUGGGCUUAAACAUUGUUAACUACUUCUGCUCAUUUAUUCACUUGGAUUUGUAACUUCUAAGUUUUCUUUUUUUGUGUGCUAAAUGAGAGGAUGUUGUUAUAACUAGAGAGAAGUAAAUAAAACAGUCUCAAAGGAUCUCUUGUAAUACUUUGCCUUUCAUAGUUACCUAACUUGGGGAUCUUGCUGUAAUUUUACUGUGAUUUGUCUAAAACUUUGAAUGUAGGUGACCUGAAAUUAGGUUUCAAGAGAAAGGAAGAGAAGCAAAAGUAUCUUUUUAUAUCUACAUUUUAUGCUAUCUGUGCAGGCUUUUAUUUUGAGUAUUUUUAGCUUUGUGAUCUGCUUGUAUUUUUUCUGACUCGCUGUGUCAAGACAAUGCUGGAGGAAAGCAAGCUCAAUCAGUCUAUCUUUCUCUGUUGUAAAGAGGUAUAUAUAUCACUUGAGGGACUUUGUAAUACUUGUAACAUUUGUAACAGAACAAAUGGUUGAAUUUGUGUGUAAUCAUGCUCCUAUAUAAAGGAAAUCAGUUCAUUGUAU